RNAcentral lists this ribosomal RNA (543 nucleotides) under uncultured archaeon. RNAcentral describes it as "bacterial SSU rRNA". It matches the Rfam family "Archaeal small subunit ribosomal RNA", at positions 457 to 997 of the family's 1478-position model. The record is from RNAcentral.
GCCAGCAGCCGCGGUAACACCGGCAGCUCUAGUGGUAGUCAGUUUUAUUGGGCCUAAAGCGUCCGUAGCCGGUUUAAUAAGUCUCUGGUGAAAUCCUGUAGCUUAACUGUGGGAAUUGCUGGAGAUACUAUUAGACUUGAGACCGGGAGAGGUUAGAGGUACUCCCAGGGUAGAGGUGAAAUUCUGUAAUCCUGGGAGGACCGCCUGUUGCGAAGGCGUCUAACUGGAACGGUUCUGACGGUGAGGGACGAAAGUUAGGGGCGCGAACCGGAUUAGAUACCCGGGUAGUCCUAACCGUAAACGAUGCGGACUUGGUGUUGGGGUGGCUUUGAGCUGCUCCAGUGCCGAAGGGAAGCUGUUAAGUCCGCCGCCUGGGAAGUACGGUCGCAAGACUGAAACUUAAAGGAGUUGGCGGGGGAGCACCACAACGCGUGGAGCCUGCGGUUUUAAAUUGGAUUCAACGCCGGACAUCUCACCAGAGGCGACAGCUGUAUGAUAGCCAGGCUGAUGACUUUGCUUGACUAGCUGAGGAGUGGUGCAUGG